RNAcentral lists this ribosomal RNA (446 nucleotides) under uncultured bacterium. Its description in RNAcentral is "partial 16S ribosomal RNA". It matches the Rfam family "Bacterial small subunit ribosomal RNA", at positions 338 to 795 of the family's 1533-position model. The record is from RNAcentral.
CCUACGGGAGGCAGCAGUAGGGAAUUUUCGGCAAUGGGGGGAACCCUGACCGAGCAACGCCGCGUGAACGAAGAAGUUCUUCGUAACGUAAAGUUCUUUUAACAGGGAAGAACGAGAAAUUUGACGGUACCUGAAGAAUAAGCUCCGGCUAACUACGUGCCAGCAGCCGCGGUAAUACGUAGGGAGCGAGCGUUAUCCGGAAUUAUUGGGCGUAAAGGGUGCGUUGAUGGCAUAGUACGUAUUUUGUAAAAAUGCUGGGCUAAACCCAGUAGGGCAAAAGAUACUGCAAAGCUAGAGUAUGACAGAGGCAAGUGGAACGACAUGUGUAGCGGUAAAAUGCGUAGAUAUAUGUAAGAACACCAGUGGCGAAGGCGGCUUGCUGGGUCGAUACUGACAUUGAGGCACGAAAGCGUGGGGAGCAAACAGGAUUAGAUACCCUUGUAGUC